This 314-nucleotide ribosomal RNA is filed under the name uncultured bacterium. RNAcentral describes it as "bacterial SSU rRNA". It matches the Rfam family "Bacterial small subunit ribosomal RNA", at positions 28 to 334 of the family's 1533-position model. The record is from RNAcentral.
GAUGAACGCUGGCGGCGUGCCUAACACAUGCAAGUCGAGCGCGGUCCCUUUGGUGCUUGCACCAAAGACGACUGAGCGGCGGACGGGUGAGUAACGCGUGGGUAACCUGCCCUGUACAUAUGGAUAACAUGCUGAAAAGCAUACUAAUACAUAAUAACGUACAUUGAAGGCAUCUUCAGUGUAUCAAAGCGUUAGCGGUACAGGAUGGACCCGCGUCUGAUUAGCUAGUUGGUGGGGUAAAAGCCUACCAAGGCGACGAUCAGUAGCCGACCUGAGAGGGUGACCGGCCACAUUGGGACUGAGACACGGCCCAA